GACGAACGCUGGCGGCGUGCCUAAUACAUGCAAGUAGAACGCACAGUUUAUACCGUAGCUUGCUACACCAUAAACUGUGAGUUGCGAACAGGUGAGUAACGCGUAGGUAACCUGCCUGGUAGCGGGGGAUAACUAUUGGAAACGCUAGCUAAUACCGCAUAAUAUUGAUUAUUGCAUGAUAAUUGAUUGAAAGAUGCUAUUGCAUCACUACCAGAUGGACCUGCGUUGUAUUAGCUAGUAGGUGAGGUAACGGCUCACCUAGGCGACGAUACAUAGCCGACCUGAGAUGGUGGGCGGCCACACUGGGACUGUGACACGGCCCAGACUCCUACGGGAAGCAGCAGUAGGGAAUCUUCCGCAAUGGGCGGAAGUCUGACCGAGCAACGCCGCGUGAGUGAAGAAGGUUUUCGGGUCGUAAAGCUCUGUUGUAAGAGAAGAACGGGUGUGAGAGUGGAAAGUUCACACUGUGACGGUAUCUUACCAGAAAGGGACGGCUAACUACGUG
Molecule: ribosomal RNA, 505 nt
Filed under: uncultured bacterium
Lineage: Bacteria
Description: partial 16S ribosomal RNA
Rfam family: Bacterial small subunit ribosomal RNA
Source: RNAcentral